Oreochromis niloticus (Nile tilapia) is the source of this 799-nucleotide long non-coding RNA. RefSeq lists it as uncharacterized. The record is from RefSeq and is a predicted model, not a curated record. Lineage: Eukaryota; Metazoa; Chordata; Actinopteri; Cichliformes; Cichlidae. The transcript is spliced from 2 exons.
AAAUCCAGGAUGAUGCUGCACUUGAAGUGCUAUCCUAACCUCACCGAAAAGACUACAUUUAGCAAAAGUAUUCUCUGUGCAUUUCUUUUCCUAAGCAAUAAUGAUUCUGAACAAGCAGGAUAGAAAUUCUUCCAGUUAUAUUAAAGGAUCCACAUACUUUUUGGGGAAGAAAAGUGAGUUAGGUAACUUUAAACUUUGCAUAUUUGUUGGUGUAAGACAGGCUGGUCUGAGUAUUUCAGAAACUGUUGAUCUGCUAGGAUUUUCCCACACAACCAUCUCUGGGGAUUAAAAAGAGGAACAUAUGCAGUGAGCAGCAGUCCUUUGAGUAAAAAUGCCUUGUUGAUGUCAGAGGUCAGAGGAGAAUGGCGAGACUGCUUCAAGAUAAUAGGAAAGCAGAAAUAACUCAAAUAACCACUCAUAUCAACCAAGGUGUGUAGAAAGACAUCUCUGAAUAACACAUUGAAUCCUGUAGCAGAUGGUCUACAACAGCAGAAGACUACAUCAGGUCCCACUCCUGUCAACUAAGCAGCACAGGCUCACCAAAAUUGGAAAUUAGAAGACUGGAAAAACAAUAUGAGCAACAUUCAGAAGGGAAGCACGUUUUCUUUCUGGCUGCUUCUCUGUGGUCUGACCAGAAACUAACUCAUCCUUAUUCUAGAAAGUGAACCACAACAUGUGGCAACAGAGCCCACAAACAUGAGCUCAUUCCUCUUGAGGGGAAACUAGCAACUGAAAAAAACAGAGAUAGAAAGAGAGAAAGUCCCAGUGUUCCUCUCCACAUCCAUUUGUCUUUGGACUA